This is a small nucleolar RNA of Tachyglossus aculeatus (Australian echidna), 137 nucleotides long. NCBI's taxonomy places the organism in Eukaryota, Metazoa, Chordata, Mammalia, Monotremata, Tachyglossidae. The record is from RefSeq and is a predicted model, not a curated record.
CUCCUCUUAGGCUUGCACCGGAGAGUUUCCAGUACUCUACCAGUCUCGACUGUGGGAGGGAGAAUCAAGCAGAGGCAUAUCCAUUCCAUUCCUAGCCUGGGAAGUGGCUAGUGAAUGGAAGGCAAACUGCUACAAGU